GUAUCAUGGCUCAGGAUGAACGCUAGCUACAGGCUUAACACAUGCAAGUCGAGGGGCAGCAUGAACUUAGCUUGCUAAGUUUGAUGGCGACCGGCGCACGGGUGAGUAACACGUAUCCAACCUUCCGUUUACUCAGGGAUAGCUUCGAAGAAGAUUAAUACCUGAUAGUAUGGUGAGAUUGCAUGAUAACACCAUUAAAGAUUUAUUGGUAAACGAUGGGGAUGCGUUCCAUUAGG
This 236-nucleotide ribosomal RNA is filed under the name uncultured bacterium. RNAcentral's name for it is "partial 16S ribosomal RNA". It matches the Rfam family "Bacterial small subunit ribosomal RNA", at positions 14 to 245 of the family's 1533-position model. The record is from RNAcentral.